Molecule: ribosomal RNA, 573 nt
Filed under: Alternaria carthami
Lineage: Eukaryota; Fungi; Ascomycota; Dothideomycetes; Pleosporales; Pleosporaceae
Description: partial 18S ribosomal RNA
Rfam family: 5.8S ribosomal RNA (bases 197-350)
Source: RNAcentral
UUCCGUAGGUGAACGUGCGGAGGGAUCAUUACACAAAUAUGAAAGCCCGCGGGAACCUCUCGGGGUUACAGCCUUGAUGAAUUAUUCACCCUUGUCUUUUGCGUACUUCUUGUUUCCUUGGGGGGUUCGCCCACCACUAGGACAAACAUAAACCUUUUGUAAUUGCAAUCAGCGUCAGUAACAAAUUAAUAAUUACAACUUUCAACAACGGAUCUCUUGGUUCUGGCAUCGAUGAAGAACGCAGCGAAAUGCGAUAAGUAGUGUGAAUUGCAGAAUUCAGUGAAUCAUCGAAUCUUUGAACGCACAUUGCGCCCUUUGGUAUUCCAAAGGGCAUGCCUGUUCGAGCGUCAUUUGUACCCUCAAGCUUUGCUUGGUGUUGGGCGUCUUGUCUCUAGCUUUGCUGGAGACUCGCCUUAAAGUAAUUGGCAGCCGGCCUACUGGUUUCGGAGCGCAGCACAAGUCGCACUCUCUAUCAGCAAAGGUCUAGCAUCCAUUAAGCCUUUUUUUCAACUUUUGAAACCCCAUCAGGUAGGGAUACCCGCUGAACUUAAGCAUAUCAAUAGCGGGAGGAAA